GUAUAUUAAAGUUGUUGCGGUUAAAAAGCUCGUAGUUGGAUUUCUGCGAGGGGCAGCCGGUCCGCUCUAUGAGCGUGUAUCUGGAUUGACCUUUGCAUCCUCUCGAAAAACGUUUCUGCGCUUGAUUGCGUGGUGCGGGGUUCGGGACUUUUACUUUGAGGAAAUUAGAGUGUUCACGGCAGGCGAUCGCCUUGAAUAUAUUAGCAUGGAAUAAUAAUAUAGGAUCUUGGUUCUAUUUUGUUGGUUUCUAGGACUAAGAUAAUGAUUAAUAGGGACAAUUGGGGGCAUUCGUAUUAACACGUCAGAGGUGGAAUUCUUGGAUUGUGUUACGACGAACUACUGCGAAAGCAUUUGCCAAGGAUGUUUUCAUUGAUCAAGAACGAAAGUAAGGGGAUCGAAGACGAUUAGUUACCGUCGUAGUCUUUACCAUAAACUAUGCCAACUAGAGAUGGGGCGUCGUUCAUUUAUGACAUGCUCUGCACCUUAUGAGAAAUCAAAGUCUUUGGGUUCCGGGGGGAGUAUGGUCGCAAGGCUGAAACUUAAAGG
Molecule: ribosomal RNA, 546 nt
Filed under: uncultured alveolate
Lineage: Eukaryota
Description: SSU rRNA
Rfam family: Eukaryotic small subunit ribosomal RNA
Source: RNAcentral